UGACGUUGGGAAAGCGAGCGGCGGAUGGGUGAGUAACACGUGGGGAACCUGCCCCUAAGUCUGGGAUACCAUUUGGAAACAGGUGCUAAUACCGGAUAAUAAAGCAGAUCGCAUGAUCAGCUUUUGAAAGGCGGCGUAAGCUGUCGCUAAGGGAUGGCCCCGCGGUGCAUUAGCUAGUUGGUAAGGUAACGGCUUACCAAGGCGACGAUGCAUAGCCGAGUUGAGAGACUGAUCGGCCACAUUGGGACUGAGACACGGCCCAAACUCCUACGGGAGGCAGCAGUAGGGAAUCUUCCACAAUGGACGCAAGUCUGAUGGAGCAACGCCGCGUGAGUGAAGAAGGUUUUCGGAUCGUAAAGCUCUGUUGUUGGUGAAGAAGGAUAGAGGUAGUAACUGGCCUUUAUUUGACGGUAAUCAACCAGAAAGUCACGGCUAACUACGUGCCAGCAGCCGCGGUAAUACGUAGGUGGCAAGCGUUGUCCGGAUUUAUUGGGCGUAAAGCGAGCGCAGGCGGAAAAAUAAGUCUAAUGUGAAAGCCCUCGGCUUAACCGAGGAACUGCAUCGGAAACUGUUUUUCUUGAGUGCAGAAGAGGAGAGUGGAACUCCAUGUGUAGCGGUGGAAUGCGUAGAUAUAUGGAAGAACACCAGUGGCGAAGGCGGCUCUCUGGUCUGCAACUGACGCUGAGGCUCGAAAGCAUGGGUAGCGAACAGGAUUUAGAUACCCUGGUAGUCCAUGCCGUAAACGAUGAGUGCUAAGUGUUGGGAGGUUUCCGCCUCUCAGUGCUGCAGCUAACGCAUUAAGCACUCCGCCUGGGGAGUACGACCGCAAGGUUGAAACUCAAAGGA
RNAcentral lists this ribosomal RNA (846 nucleotides) under uncultured bacterium. RNAcentral describes it as "bacterial SSU rRNA". It matches the Rfam family "Bacterial small subunit ribosomal RNA", at positions 78 to 908 of the family's 1533-position model. The record is from RNAcentral.